UGGGGCUUCGCCAAGCUGGUUAAGGCACUGGAUUUUGAUUCCAGCAUACCCAGGUUCGAAUCCUGGAGCCCCAGCCA
Molecule: transfer RNA, 77 nt
Filed under: Gammaproteobacteria bacterium
Lineage: Bacteria; Pseudomonadati; Pseudomonadota; Gammaproteobacteria
Description: tRNA-Gln
Rfam family: tRNA
About the family: Transfer RNA (tRNA) molecules are approximately 80 nucleotides in length. Their secondary structure includes four short double-helical elements and three loops (D, anti-codon, and T loops). Further hydrogen bonds mediate the characteristic L-shaped molecular structure. tRNAs have two regions of fundamental functional importance: the anti-codon, which is responsible for specific mRNA codon recognition, and the 3' end, to which the tRNAs corresponding amino acid is attached (by aminoacyl-tRNA synthetases). tRNAs cope with the degeneracy of the genetic code in two manners: having more than one tRNA (with a specific anti-codon) for a particular amino acid; and 'wobble' base-pairing, i.e. permitting non-standard base-pairing at the 3rd anti-codon position.
Source: RNAcentral